RNAcentral lists this microRNA precursor (75 nucleotides) under Myotis lucifugus (little brown bat). Its description in RNAcentral is "mir-9229 microRNA precursor family". It matches the Rfam family "mir-9229 microRNA precursor family". Lineage: Eukaryota; Metazoa; Chordata; Mammalia; Chiroptera; Vespertilionidae. The record is from Rfam by way of RNAcentral.
AGACACCCUUCUGGGGCAAGACUUGCUUCAGUGGGGCUUUGGUGCUCACUGAGUCUUCCCACUGAGUGUGUCCCU